AGAUUGAACGCUGGCGGCAGGCCUAACACAUGCAAGUCGAACGGUAACAGGAAGAAGCUUGCUUCUUUGCUGACGAGUGGCGGACGGGUGAGUAAUGUCUGGGAAACUGCCUGAUGGAGGGGGAUAACUACUGGAAACGGUAGCUAAUACCGCAUAACGUCGCAAGACCAAAGAGGGGGACCUUCGGGCCUCUUGCCAUCGGAUGUGCCCAGAUGGGAUUAGCUUGUUGGUGGGGUAACGGCUCACCAAGGCGACGAUCCCUAGCUGGUCUGAGAGGAUGACCAGCCACACUGGAACUGAGACACGGUCCAGACUCCUACGGGAGGCAGCAGUGGGGAAUAUUGCACAAUGGGCGCAAGCCUGAUGCAGCCAUGCCGCGUGUAUGAAGAAGGCCUUCGGGUUGUAAAGUACUUUCAGCGGGGAGGAAGGGAGUAAAGUUAAUACCUUUGCUCAUUGACGUUACCCGCAGAAGAAGCACCGGCUAACUCCGUGCCAGCAGCCGCGGUAAUACGGAGGGUGCAAGCGUUAAUCGGAAUUACUGGGCGUAAAGCGCACGCAGGCGGUUUGUUAAGUCAGAUGUGAAAUCCCCGGGCUCAACCUGGGAACUGCAUCUGAUACUGGCAAGCUUGAGUCUCGUAGAGGGGGGUAGAAUUCCAGGUGUAGCGGUGAAAUGCGUAGAGAUCUGGAGGAAUACCGGUGGCGAAGGCGGCCCCCUGGACGAAGACUGACGCUCAGGUGCGAAAGCGUGGGGAGCAAACAGGAUUAGAUACCCUGGUAGUCCACGCCGUAAACGAUGUCGACUUGGAGGUUGUGCCCUUGAGGCGUGGCUUCCGGAGCUAACGCGUUAAGUCGACCGCCUGGGGAGUACGGCCGCAAGGUUAAAACUCAAAUGAAUUGACGGGGGCCCGCACAAGCGGUGGAGCAUGUGGUUUAAUUCGAUGCAACGCGAAGAACCUUACCUGGUCUUGACAUCCACGGAAGUUUUCAGAGAUGAGAAUGUGCCUUCGGGAACCGUGAGACAGGUGCUGCAUGGCUGUCGUCAGCUCGUGUUGUGAAAUGUUGGGUUAAGUCCCGCAACGAGCGCAACCCUUAUCCUUUGUUGCCAGCGGUCCGGCCGGGAACUCAAAGGAGACUGCCAGUGAUAAACUGGAGGAAGGUGGGGAUGACGUCAAGUCAUCAUGGCCCUUACGACCAGGGCUACACACGUGCUACAAUGGCGCAUACAAAGAGAAGCGACCUCGCGAGAGCAAGCGGACCUCAUAAAGUGCGUCGUAGUCCGGAUUGGAGUCUGCAACUCGACUCCAUGAAGUCGGAAUCGCUAGUAAUCGUGGAUCAGAAUGCCACGGUGAAUACGUUCCCGGGCCUUGUACACACCGCCCGUCACACCAUGGGAGUGGGUUGCAAAAGAAGUAGGUAGCUUAACCUUCGGGAGGGCGCUUACCACUUUGUGAUUCAUGACUGGGGUGAAGUCGUAACAAGGUAACCGUAGGGGAACCUGCGGUUGGAUCACCUCCUUACCUUAAAGAAGC
Molecule: ribosomal RNA, 1529 nt
Filed under: Escherichia coli
Lineage: Bacteria; Pseudomonadati; Pseudomonadota; Gammaproteobacteria; Enterobacterales; Enterobacteriaceae
Description: bacterial SSU rRNA
Rfam family: Bacterial small subunit ribosomal RNA
Source: RNAcentral